Molecule: ribosomal RNA, 546 nt
Filed under: fungal endophyte
Lineage: Eukaryota; Fungi
Description: eukaryotic LSU rRNA
Rfam family: Eukaryotic large subunit ribosomal RNA
Source: RNAcentral
CGGAGGAAAAGAAACCAACCGGGAUUGCCUCAGUAACGGCGAGUGAAGCGGCAAGAGCUCAAAUUUGAAAUCUGGCCCCUCCGGGGUCCGAGUUGUAAUUUGCAGAGGAUGCUUCGGGUGCGGCCCCUGUCUAAGUGCCCUGGAACGGGCCGUCAGAGAGGGUGAGAAUCCCGUCUUGGGCAGGGUGCCCGUGCCCGUGUGAAGCUCCUUCGACGAGUCGAGUUGUUUGGGAAUGCAGCUCAAAAUGGGUGGUAAAUUUCAUCUAAAGCUAAAUACCGGCCGGAGACCGAUAGCGCACAAGUAGAGUGAUCGAAAGAUGAAAAGCACUUUGAAAAGAGAGUUAAACAGCACGUGAAAUUGUUGAAAGGGAAGCGCUUGCAACCAGACUCGGCCUCGGGGUUCAGCCAGCAUUCGUGCUGGUGUACUUCCCCGGGGCCGGGCCAGCGUCGGUUUGGGCGGCCGGUCAAAGGCCCCAGGAAUGUAUCGUCCUCCGGGACGUCUUAUAGCCUGGGGUGCAAUGCGGCCAGCCUGGACCGAGGAACGCGC